UGUGACUUAUACCUUUUGUUGCCUCGGCGCUGCUGGUCUUCACAGGCCCUUUGCUUCACAGCAAAGAGACGGCACGCCGGCGGCCAAAUCAACUCUGUUUUUACACUGAAACUCUGAGAAAAAACACAAAUGAAUCAAAACUUUCAACAACGGAUCUCUUGGUUCUGGCAUCGAUGAAGAACGCAGCGAAAUGCGAUAAGUAAUGUGAAUUGCAGAAUUCAGUGAAUCAUCGAAUCUUUGAACGCACAUUGCGCCCUCUGGUAUUCCGGAGGGCAUGCCUGUUCGAGCGUCAUUUCAACCCUCAAGCAUUGCUUGGUGUUGGGGCACUGCUUUUAACGAAGCAGGCCCUGAAAUCUAGUGGCGAGCUCGCCAGGACCCCGAGCGCAGUAGUUAAACCCUCGCUCUGGAAGGCCCUGGCGGUGCCCUGCCGUUAAACCCCCAACUUUUGAAAAUUUGACCUCGGAUCAGGUAGGAAUACCCGCUGAACUUAAGCAUAUCAAUAAAGCGGAGGAAACUUG
This 518-nucleotide ribosomal RNA is filed under the name Phomopsis sp. P9-5. RNAcentral's name for it is "eukaryotic LSU rRNA". The stretch from base 139 to 292 matches the Rfam family "5.8S ribosomal RNA". The record is from RNAcentral. Lineage: Eukaryota; Fungi; Ascomycota; Sordariomycetes; Diaporthales; Diaporthaceae.